GACGGGGGGGGCAAGUGUUCUUCGGAAUGACUGGGCGUAAAGGGCACGUAGGCGGUGAAUCGGGUUGAAAGUGAAAGUCGCCAAAAAGUGGCGGAAUGCUCUCGAAACCAAUUCACUUGAGUGAGACAGAGGAGAGUGGAAUUUCGUGUGUAGGGGUGAAAUCCGUAAAUAUACGAAGGAACGCCAAAAGCGAAGGCAGCUCUCUGGGUCCCUACCGACGCUGGGGAGCGAAAGCGUGGGGAGCGAACAGG
This 251-nucleotide ribosomal RNA is filed under the name uncultured bacterium. RNAcentral's name for it is "partial 16S ribosomal RNA". It matches the Rfam family "Bacterial small subunit ribosomal RNA", at positions 524 to 776 of the family's 1533-position model. The record is from RNAcentral.